Molecule: long non-coding RNA, 975 nt
Organism: Mesoplodon densirostris (Blainville's beaked whale)
Lineage: Eukaryota; Metazoa; Chordata; Mammalia; Artiodactyla; Ziphiidae
Exons: 4
Source: RefSeq, a predicted model, not a curated record
GGGCGAUGUGGAGCGUCCCACAGCGCACCUACGCCCCGGAGGCUCAUGGGCGUUGUAGUUCCCAGGGCGGCGAGCUGUGCUGGCCCUGAGCGUGGGAGGGCGAGGCCAGGUCUGGAGGCACGGUCCCGUCCUCCUUGAGGCAGAAGCGGCUGUCCCGGCGUGGAUGACUCCGGAGCGUCCUGGCCCCGAACCCCCUGGAGUGCGACCCGCUGCGCGGGUCUGGCGACAGAUCUGGCGGCCGUGUGUCGCAGCUGGAGGUAGGACCAGGCCCUGCGGCCUGGCUGAGGAAGACCGUCCUGGGAAUCUUUCGGAGCUUCUGGAAGUUGUUGGGUCUGGAUGGGAAGCCUGGAACUACUGUGCCCAUCAUGCUCCCAGUCCAUGAUGAAGCCAAAAUCCAGAAGAGGGCAAAGCGAAGAGGAUCUUAGACGUCUGGGCUCCUCAUGGAACAGUGCCUAAUGCUUAGGUGAAGAAGUAUUUGUUGAAAGAAGAAUUUGUUGAAUAAUUUCAGUUGAGCAUUCAAUUAAGCAUUGUGUUGGGCUUAAGUUUCUCGAUGUUUUCAAUGGAAGGCAAAUUUUGUAUUCACAUUCAUUUAAAAAAUAAAGGAUUAUGAAGCUGGUAGAGUGCCAGCUUGGAAUUCUGGUGGCCAUCUUGCUAUCUAUGAGGGGAAAACCUGCCUGAGGAGGAAGACAGUCCAGAGGAAAGCAGAGCUGAGACAGAGAGCAAGUUCAGACGGACAUCGUUUGAGCCUGUGGCUCCAGCCACACCUAACAUCAUUCUACCUCUGAUUUUUAAAUUCUGUAAACCAAUAAACUCCCCCUCUUUUCAUGUUUAAACUACCUUAAACGGAGUGGGGGGCUGUUCCUAUUACUUGUAACUGAAAGCAUCCUGAGUGUUACAUCCCCCGUUCGUAAGGAGGAAGAAGUGUUUUCCCUUUCAUAUUAAUACCUUGGCUUAACCUGGGCCCUGGAUCCAUCC